CCUACGGGAGGCAGCAGUGGGGAAUUUUGCGCAAUGGGGGCAACCCUGACGCAGCAACGCCGCGUGAGUGAUGAAGGCCUUCGGGUCGUAAAGCUCUGUCAGAGGGGAAGAAAUGCAGGUGGUGAACAACCAUUCUGUUUGACGGUACCCUCAAAGGAAGCACCGGCUAACUCCGUGCCAGCAGCCGCGGUAAUACGGAGGGUGCGAGCGUUGUUCGAAAUUAUUGGGCGUAAAGCGCGUGUAGGCGGUUUGUUAAGUCUGAGGUAAAAGCCCCGGGCUCAACCGGGAAAGUGCAUUGGAUACUGGCAGACUUGAGUACGGGAGAGGAGAGUGAAAUUCCCAGUGUAGGAGUGAAAUCCGUAGAUAUUGGGAGGAACCCCGGUGGCGAAGGCGGCCUUCUGGUCUGCCCCUGACACUCAGGCGCGAAAGCGGGGGGAGCAAACAGGAUUAGAUCCCCCGGUAGU
This 464-nucleotide ribosomal RNA is filed under the name uncultured Geobacteraceae bacterium. RNAcentral's name for it is "partial 16S ribosomal RNA". It matches the Rfam family "Bacterial small subunit ribosomal RNA", at positions 338 to 794 of the family's 1533-position model. Lineage: Bacteria; Pseudomonadati; Thermodesulfobacteriota; Desulfuromonadia; Geobacterales; Geobacteraceae. The record is from RNAcentral.